CACGUAGGGGGCUAGCGUUAUCCGGAAUUACUGGGCGUAAAGGGUGCGUAGGCGGCCUUUCAAGCCAGAAGUGAAAGGCUACGGCUCAACCGUAGUAAGCUUUUGGAACUGUAAGACUUGAGUGCAGGAGAGGAGAGUGGAAUUCCUAGUGUAGCGGUGAAAUGCGUAGAUAUUAGGAGGAACACCAGUAGCGAAGGCGGCUCUCUGGACUGUAACUGACGCUGAGGCACGAAAGCGUGGGGAGCAAACAGGAUUAGAUACCCCGGUAGUCCCUGAG
Molecule: ribosomal RNA, 277 nt
Filed under: uncultured prokaryote
Description: partial 16S ribosomal RNA
Rfam family: Bacterial small subunit ribosomal RNA
Source: RNAcentral